This 403-nucleotide ribosomal RNA is filed under the name uncultured Acidothermus sp. RNAcentral describes it as "bacterial SSU rRNA". It matches the Rfam family "Bacterial small subunit ribosomal RNA", at positions 355 to 774 of the family's 1533-position model. The record is from RNAcentral. Lineage: Bacteria; Bacillati; Actinomycetota; Actinomycetes; Acidothermales; Acidothermaceae.
UGGGGAAUAUUGCACAAUGGGGGAAACCCUGAUGCAGCGACGCCGCGUGCGGGAUGAAGGCCUUCGGGUUGUAAACCGCUUUCAGCAGGGGCGAAUUCAGACGGUACCUGCAGAAGAAGCGCCGGCUAACUACGUGCCAGCAGCCGCGGUAAUACGUAGGGCGCAAGCGUUGUCCGGAAUUAUUGGGCGUAAAGAGCUCGUAGGCGGCCUGUUGCGUCCGCUGUGAAAUCCCGGGGCUUAACCCCGGGCUUGCAGUGGAUACGGGCAGGCUGGAGGCAGGCAGGGGAGAACGGAAUUCCCGGUGUAGCGGUGAAAUGCGCAGAUAUCGGGAGGAACACCGGUGGCGAAGGCGGUUCUCUGGGCCUGUACUGACGCUGAGGAGCGAAAGCGUGGGGAGCAAACA